CAGGCACUGAAACAUGGUCCAGAUUCUCUAGAUGUGUGGAGUUGAGAAAUUAGAAAGAAGUCUUCUGGGAAGCAGAGGAGGGAUACUACAUCCCCCUGGACUCAAUGGCUGUCCUUCGGCAUUCAGUGAUACCAAGGGUGGAACAUGAAAUGAAAAAGAAUCACCUCAAUCUAGCAGAACGUAAAGCCCCAUGGAGCAGCUGCUGAAGGAAUUCAUAGAAGAGGAAGGGAUGGUAUUACAGAGGUUACAGCUUCUCCAGUUCCAAGUCUUUCAGAAAAGAACCUGAAGUAGAUAUGUUUACUCAGACAUACAAAUCCAGACCAUCCAUUCUGCCAAGUAAUAUUUUAAUAUCUCAUUCCUGUCCCUGAAUUUCUUCACUGUUGAUACAAAUAUGAAAAGGAAUCUAAAUGAGUUCUA
Long non-coding RNA from Pezoporus occidentalis (night parrot), 417 nucleotides. RefSeq lists it as uncharacterized. The record is from RefSeq and is a predicted model, not a curated record. The transcript has 2 exons. NCBI's taxonomy places the organism in Eukaryota, Metazoa, Chordata, Aves, Psittaciformes, Psittacidae.